RNAcentral lists this ribosomal RNA (253 nucleotides) under uncultured bacterium. RNAcentral describes it as "partial 16S ribosomal RNA". It matches the Rfam family "Bacterial small subunit ribosomal RNA", at positions 524 to 776 of the family's 1533-position model. The record is from RNAcentral.
UACGGAGGGUGCAAGCGUUAAUCGGAAUUACUGGGCGUAAAGGGUGCGUAGGUGGCGCCGUAAGUCGGGUGUGAAAUUUCGGAGCUUAACUCCGAAACUGCAUUCGAUACUGCGGUGCUUGAGGACUGGAGAGGAGACUGGAAUUCAUGGUGUAGCAGUGAAAUGCGUAGAGAUCAUGAGGAAGACCAGUGGCGAAGGCGGGUCUCUGGACAGUUCCUGACACUGAGGCACGAAGGCCAGGGGAGCAAACGGG